GGGGAUGUUCUGGAUUCGUCACGGCACGGCGUCAAGUAUAAGCAUGUCUUGGUUGCUCAAGUAAAAAAGCCGAGGUUAUCUAAUAACCGGAAACCAACAACUUUCAUUCGCUGCCUAAGAAAAGGUGCGAGCCAAUUCAGCAUUUACUUGCGGUUCUGAUGCGGCCCAACUUCAGCAAGUUAUCCCUACCGAAGUGUCUGGAUCGGUAGACGAACCUUACAGGCUGGCGCGAUUUGCUUUUUGUUCCUUUAGCACAUAGCGUGAGAUCAUAAAUGAACUAAACAUGUAGAAAGUACUUGGCAAAAGGUCUUGCACAGGGGUUCAAUUCCCCUCAUCUCCACCA
This 343-nucleotide transfer-messenger RNA is filed under the name Acholeplasmataceae. RNAcentral describes it as "RECG01 sp007692425 Standard tmRNA". It matches the Rfam family "transfer-messenger RNA". From Rfam's summary of the family: Bacterial tmRNA, also known as 10Sa RNA or SsrA, is named for its dual tRNA and mRNA-like properties. Lineage: Bacteria; Bacillati; Mycoplasmatota; Mollicutes; Acholeplasmatales. The record is from RNAcentral. RNAcentral also lists the same sequence under 1 other name.